Molecule: long non-coding RNA, 1041 nt
Filed under: Homo sapiens (human)
Lineage: Eukaryota; Metazoa; Chordata; Mammalia; Primates; Hominidae
Description: HSALNT0309944
Source: RNAcentral
AGAGACACAACGACGUCUACUUUGUUCCUUGGUCAGUCGAUGGCCUGCGGGUGUCUGCUGGUGUCUGGCCGUGUGCUCUUUCUCGACGUACAGCUGUUUGUGUGUGUGCCCGCGACAGUCUCGGGUUUUGAUGGGCACAGGAUGGGGGGCCAAAAGGCAAAACUGUUUUGGUGGGCAAAAACAGAAAUGCCUGUCCUCAUUUAGGUCCAUGGGCACAGGCCCGAGGUUGUAGCCCUUGCCAGGGAUCCUGCCCUUCUCUACUCAGCACUUCGCUGCCCCUCUCCUGAAUCACAUCAAUUAAGAACUUUCUUCACCACCCCUUCGCUGUCAUCCUUUUCUCUCCACUAUUCACCCAACAUCAUCCGGGACCAGAACUAAUGUCAGCAAAGCAGGGGAAGGAAGUAAACUUCUAGGAGUAGAAGAAAGGAUGAAAAAGCCAACCACAACCCCCUUUCUUCAUUAAAGGCUUCCCUCUACCGUACUCGAAAACAACUUUGCCAUUUUGAUAAUCAAAUGAAAAAGUAUAGUUUCUAACUCUGUACUAUUUGUACACUAUUUGUACUUUCUAAAUCUAUACUAUUCGUAUUAUUUAAAAGUGACCAUAAAUAUUAUAAACUAAGUUAACCAAGGUUUUGCCUGGAGGCAAGGGAAGACCAAAUCCCAUGAUACAACUUAAAUAGUUGAAUUCCACUUAUGUGAAAACACACACAUAUGUUUAAAAGGCAUAUAUGUAUAAAAAUGGAUAUCAAAUGGUAUGAAAUAAUUUGCACUAAAUUGAUAAUUGAGGAAAAAAUGUGAAGAGAAACUUCCAGACCAAAAGCUUCAUGGGCAAAAGAACCAUAUCUUCACAUCCUUAAUGAGGAUAAGGAUUGCAGAGGCAGUACUUUGUAGAUUGAAGAGAAGUUUGUUAAUCCAAAGCCAACAGGAAGCUCACAAGUAAUUCCACAGUGUAUCUUCCAGAAACAACUUCUGCAUAGGGUAAAACUACUGCUCACAGACAUAGAUACAAAGCGGCCACACUACACUGAUUAAAAUUGAGCC